AUUGAACGCUGGCGGCAGGCCUAACACAUGCAAGUCGAACGGUAACAGGAAGCAGCUUGCUGCUUCGCUGACGAGUGGCGGACGGGUGAGUAAUGUCUGGGAAACUGCCUGAUGGAGGGGGAUAACUACUGGAAACGGUAGCUAAUACCGCAUAACGUCGCAAGACCAAAGAGGGGGACCUUCGGGCCUCCUGCCAUCGGAUGUGCCCAGAUGGGAUUAGCUAGUAGGUGGGGUAACGGCUCACCUAGGCGACGAUCCCUAGCUGGUCUGAGAGGAUGACCAGCCACACUGGAACUGAGACACGGUCCAGACUCCUACGGGAGGCAGCAGUGGGGAAUAUUGCACAAUAGGCGCAAGCCUGAUGCAGCCAUGCCGCGUGUAUGAAGAAGGCCUUCGGGUUGUAAAGUACUUUCAGCGGGGAGGAAGGGAGUAAAGUUAAUACCUUUGCUCAUUGACGUUACCCGCAGAAGAAGCACCGGCUAACUCCGUG
This 490-nucleotide ribosomal RNA is filed under the name uncultured bacterium. Its description in RNAcentral is "partial 16S ribosomal RNA". It matches the Rfam family "Bacterial small subunit ribosomal RNA", at positions 30 to 507 of the family's 1533-position model. The record is from RNAcentral.